ACACGGUGACGCAAGGGCCGGAAGGAGGGACCCUGUGUCUGGAGAAGCGGGAGAUGGGGGCCUGGACCCCUGGGUCUGAGGGAGGAGGGGCUGGGGUCGUGAUUCCCGUGUUUGGGAGAAAAGGGGGUUGGGAGCUGGGACUCCUGGGGCCGAGGGAGGCCUUUGGGGCUCCCACUCAGUUUUGACGGUCUAAGGCCUGGGGGCCUGGAUUCUUGGUAGGGUUGGAGAUCUCAGGAGUGUCUUUCCACUGAUAGGAUUAUACAUUCUUUCCACUUAUAUGAUUAUUUUGAAAAUUAAAAAAUGAAACUUCUCUACUCCAAACUCACUUUCUAGGAGUUUCACUGUCAACAAUUUGGUGUGGACUUUAUGUUUUCUUUUUUCAGAUGGAGUCUUGCUCUGUCGCCCAGGCUGGAGUCCAGUGGUGUGAUCUCAGCUCACUUCAUCCUCCGCUUCCCGAGUUCAAGCAAUUCUCGUGCCUCAGCCUCCCGAGUAGCUGGGAUUACAGGUGCCUAUCACCACGCCCAGCUAAUUUUUUUGCAUGUUUAGUAGAGACAGGGUUUCACCAUAUUGGCCAGGCUGGUCUCGAACUCCUGACCUCAAGUGAUCUGCCUGCCUCAAACCUCCCAAAGCACUGGGAUUACAGGUGUGAGCCACCACGCCUGGCCUGGUAUGGACUUUAUAUAUAUAUACACACACACACACACACACACACACACACAUAUUAUGGAUAAAGAUACUUUUUUCCACUCUAAUCUGUCCCAUAAGUUGUUUCCCCACAUGAGUACGUACAGAAUUAUCUCAUUCACUGAACAAUGGCAACGGGCUCCUUUGUGUGAAUUGAACACGCUUUGUUUAGCGGGUCCCUGGUCAUUUGGGUUGUUUUCUUCUUUCUAGUGAGGAGAUUCCUUUCAUGAACCUUGUGGUCUGGAGUAAAAGAAGAGACCUACAUUCCUCUCUUAAGACCCUGUACCUUUGCUCCUAAGCAUGAAGAUGGGCUUCUGACCAAGUCCUGCUAGAGGACACUGAAAGGGCAAGCCUUGGGCUUUAACCAGGCAAUGGAAAAUUUAAAUUGGGCUCCAGAGAAGAGACAUUGAGACUGAUACUUCCAGCACUGAGGAUCUACCUCUAGAAGUCUAGCUCAGAACUUGGCCUCCGGCCUGGGCACUGCCUCAUACCUGCCAGAAUUGAUCUCAAUGGAGCUGCACAAUGAGAGGUUUUGCAUGUUGUCUAGAGGACUUUGGUUGAGUUCAGAGCUGAGCACACUUGCCUUCAGACUCUCCUGGGACUCCCAGUUCUCAUCCAUAUGAGCAAGGGCUUCAUGUUACUGGCCGUGGCCCUGUGCUGAGUCCUCCUCCCGCCCAUGGCCCUCUCCUCCUGGCCAGUGGUCCUCCGCCUGAACAUGGCCGACUUUGUCUUCAGUUUCCUCUGCCUCGGCAUUGGGCUCCUGAUUUCUCUUCAGCCUGACGCUCUUUUCAGUUAACGGCAAGGCGGUGCACCCAAGUCCGGUGGUGUCCUACCUGGUGACCUCCUACCUGUGCUGGGACGCCAGCGACUUGAUGCUGCACUCCGGAGCCGUGUCCUACCUAAGCCCAGUGGGCAUGUGAAGCAGAGGGCAGCCCUUGAAUGCGCGGCGGCUGAGCUACCGCGGGUGGGCCGUGCAGCAGGGCGCAGCGAGGCGGACAUCCAAACAGCGGAACUCAGACGCUGACUCCGAGCGCACCCCGGGCCUUCCCAUUUCAUACACCCUCGAGGAUGAGACCCAAGCACCUCCAAGGAAUAGCACCCGAGGUCUUCAGGACACCGACCGGUAGCCAUGGCCAGAUGCCCGGCCAACCCCUUCAGCGUGGCCACGCCCUGGAUAUUCGACCUCCCCUGAGGCCCCACCCCCUGAUAUCAGGCCACGCCCUCCGAGGGGACCGGUGGCAAACUCCAGCCCUCGCUCUAGGGCCCGCCCUUUGCGGCUUUGUCCCUGCCCACUGGGUCCUCACAGUACCUCCACCCCAGAGGCCCAGCAUCCCCUCCCGUUCUGCAGACACUUGUCCAGCGUCCCGCUGAGCUCGGCAGUGUGGCUAGUUUGUGUGGCCCUGCCCCUGGUGCCCAGCCAGGGUGGUCUGCAUGGAACUUCUUUCCCGGAGUUCCGGCCUCAGCUCCGAUGUCCACCCUUGUCCCCAGGUGGACACAGCACCGCCCAGCAUUUGGUGCAACUCCACCCUUCUGCAGAACGGGCCCCUCCCUGGGAAGGCAUGGCUUGCAAUAACAUCCCUCUGUACCUUUUCUGGCUUCCCCGCCACAAUAAAACCUCUCAGCCUCAGACCUUCCAUUGCCCCCCACCUCCCCACCAGGGCAGGGUCCAUCCUAGUGUGAGUGAACUGUUCUGGCGUCCCUGACUUGCCCUUUGGGA
RNAcentral lists this long non-coding RNA (2401 nucleotides) under Homo sapiens (human). RNAcentral describes it as "non-protein coding LINC01869:20". Lineage: Eukaryota; Metazoa; Chordata; Mammalia; Primates; Hominidae. The record is from RNAcentral.